AUUGAACGCUGGCGGCAGGCCUAACACAUGCAAGUCGAACGGUAGCACAGAGAGCUUGCUCUCGGGUGACGAGUGGCGGACGGGUGAGUAACGUCUGGGAAACUGCCCGAUGGAGGGGGAUAACUACUGGAAACGGUAGCUAAUACCGCAUAACGUCGCAAGACCAAAGUGGGGGACCUUCGGGCCUCACACCAUCGGAUGUGCCCAGAUGGGAUUAGCUAGUAGGUGGGGUAAUGGCUCACCUAGGCGACGAGCCCUAGCUGGUCUGAGAGGAUGACCAGCCACACUGGAACUGAGACACGGUCCAGACUCCUACGGGAGGCAGCAGUGGGGAAUAUUGCACAGUGGGCGCAAGCCUGAUGCAGCCAUGCCGCGUGUAUGAAGAAGGCCUUCGGGUUGUAAAGUACUUUCAGCGGGGAGGAAGGCGGUGAAGUUAAUAACUUCACCGAUUGACGUUACCCGCAGAAGAAGCACCGGCUAACUCCGUGCCAGCCGCCGCGGUAA
Molecule: ribosomal RNA, 504 nt
Filed under: uncultured bacterium
Lineage: Bacteria
Description: partial 16S ribosomal RNA
Rfam family: Bacterial small subunit ribosomal RNA
Source: RNAcentral